This 429-nucleotide ribosomal RNA is filed under the name Pseudomonadota bacterium. Its description in RNAcentral is "Proteobacteria bacterium partial 16S ribosomal RNA". It matches the Rfam family "Bacterial small subunit ribosomal RNA", at positions 355 to 776 of the family's 1533-position model. Lineage: Bacteria; Pseudomonadati; Pseudomonadota. The record is from RNAcentral.
UGGGGAAUAUUGGACAAUGGGCGAAAGCCUGAUCCAGCCAUGCCGCGUGUGUGAAGAAGGUCUUCGGAUUGUAAAGCACUUUAAGUUGGGAGGAAGGGCAGUAAGCGAAUACCUUGCUGUUUUGACGUUACCGACAGAAUAAGCACCGGCUAACUCUGUGCCAGCAGCCGCGGUAAUACAGAGGGUGCAAGCGUUAAUCGGAAUUACUGGGCGUAAAGCGCGCGUAGGUGGUUCGUUAAGUUGAAUGUGAAAGCCCCGGGCUCAACCUGGGAACUGCAUCCAAAACUGACGAGCUAGGGUAGGGCAGAGGGUGGUGGAAUUUCCUGUGUAGCGGAGAAAUGCGUAGAGAUAGGAAGGAACACCAGUGUCGAAGGCGACCACCUGGGCUCAUACUGACACUGAGGUGCGAAAGCGUGGGGAGCAAACAGG